UUGACCUCGGAUCAGGUAGGGAUACCCGCUGAACUUAAGCAUAUCAAUAAGCGGAGGAAAAGAAACCAACAGGGAUUGCCCCAGUAACGGCGAGUGAAGCGGCAAGAGCUCAAAUUUGAAAGCUGGCCCCCUCGGGGUCCGCAUUGUAAUUUGCAGAGGAUGCUUCGGGAGUGGCCCCCAUCUAAGUGCUCUGGAACGGGCCGUCAUAGAGGGUGAGAAUCCCGUAUGGGAUGGGGUGUCCGCGACCAUGUGAAGCUCCUUCAACGAGUCGAGUUGUUUGGGAAUGCAGCUCUAAAUGGGUGGUAAAUUUCAUCUAAAGCUAAAUAUUGGCCGGAGACCGAUAGCGCACAAGUAGAGUGAUCGAAAGAUGAAAAGCACUUUGAAAAGAGAGUUAAAAAGCACGUGAAAUUGUUGAAAGGGAAGCGCUUGCGACCAGACUCGCCUGCGGGGUUCAGCCGGUAUUCGUACCGGUGUACUUCCCCGUGGGCGGGCCAGCGUCGGUUUGGGCGGCCGGUCAAAGGCCCUCGGAAUGUAACGCCUCUCGGGGCGUCUUAUAGCCGAGGGUGCCAUGCGGCCAGCCCGGACCGAGGAACGCGCUUCGGCACGGACGCUGGCAUAAUGGUCGUAAGCGACC
Molecule: ribosomal RNA, 634 nt
Filed under: Penicillium restrictum
Lineage: Eukaryota; Fungi; Ascomycota; Eurotiomycetes; Eurotiales; Aspergillaceae
Also listed under: 2 other names
Description: eukaryotic LSU rRNA
Rfam family: Eukaryotic large subunit ribosomal RNA
Source: RNAcentral